Molecule: ribosomal RNA, 561 nt
Filed under: Escherichia coli
Lineage: Bacteria; Pseudomonadati; Pseudomonadota; Gammaproteobacteria; Enterobacterales; Enterobacteriaceae
Description: partial 23S ribosomal RNA
Rfam family: Bacterial large subunit ribosomal RNA
Source: RNAcentral
GGAAAGGCGCGCGAUACAGGGUGACAGCCCCGUACACAAAAAUGCACAUGCUGUGAGCUCGAUGAGUAGGGCGGGACACGUGGUAUCCUGUCUGAAUAUGGGGGGACCAUCCUCCAAGGCUAAAUACUCCUGACUGACCGAUAGUGAACCAGUACCGUGAGGGAAAGGCGAAAAGAACCCCGGCGAGGGGAGUGAAAAAGAACCUGAAACCGUGUACGUACAAGCAGUGGGAGCACGCUUAGGCGUGUGACUGCGUACCUUUUGUAUAAUGGGUCAGCGACUUAUAUUCUGUAGCAAGGUUAACCGAAUAGGGGAGCCGAAGGGAAACCGAGUCUUAACUGGGCGUUAAGUUGCAGGGUAUAGACCCGAAACCCGGUGAUCUAGCCAUGGGCAGGUUGAAGGUUGGGUAACACUAACUGGAGGACCGAACCGACUAAUGUUGAAAAAUUAGCGGAUGACUUGUGGCUGGGGGUGAAAGGCCAAUCAAACCGGGAGAUAGCUGGUUCUCCCCGAAAGCUAUUUAGGUAGCGCCUCGUGAAUUCAUCUCCGGGGGUAGAGCAC